RNAcentral lists this transfer RNA (71 nucleotides) under Camelus bactrianus (Bactrian camel). It matches the Rfam family "tRNA". Rfam says of the family: Transfer RNA (tRNA) molecules are approximately 80 nucleotides in length. Their secondary structure includes four short double-helical elements and three loops (D, anti-codon, and T loops). Further hydrogen bonds mediate the characteristic L-shaped molecular structure. tRNAs have two regions of fundamental functional importance: the anti-codon, which is responsible for specific mRNA codon recognition, and the 3' end, to which the tRNAs corresponding amino acid is attached (by aminoacyl-tRNA synthetases). tRNAs cope with the degeneracy of the genetic code in two manners: having more than one tRNA (with a specific anti-codon) for a particular amino acid; and 'wobble' base-pairing, i.e. permitting non-standard base-pairing at the 3rd anti-codon position. Lineage: Eukaryota; Metazoa; Chordata; Mammalia; Artiodactyla; Camelidae. RNAcentral also lists the same sequence under 2 other names. The record is from Rfam by way of RNAcentral.
GAAGGUAUAGCUCAGUGGUACAGUGUGUGCUUAGCAUGCACAAGAUCCUGGAUUCAAUCACCAGUACUCCA